GUCUAGCAAUAGUUAAGCGUUGAAUGGGUGUCAAAUGUGUGUACAAGUCUUUCAGAGCCUGCUGGUACUUGGUUUCUAAAGCCCCAAUCUGAUCACUAAAAUCUAGGCCAGUUUCAUCAGCCAUUCUACGCACCUCAAUAAUUCUCUUCUCCAGAUCAAUCAAUGGCUUCUCAAAAGGAAGCGUGACUGGUUUUGGUUUCUCAGCUAGUGGUUUGAAGUUAGAGAGGUAAGUCAAGUGCCCACUGCUAAUAUUGGGAUCAAUAUCAUCAGGCCAAGGAUAAUCAUGCUUCUUCCACUUCUUAACUUUAGCAAUGACACGAAAUCCACUUCCGAUUCCCGUUCUGUAAG
This 348-nucleotide unclassified non-coding RNA is filed under the name Hevea brasiliensis (rubber tree). The record is from RNAcentral. Lineage: Eukaryota; Viridiplantae; Streptophyta; Magnoliopsida; Malpighiales; Euphorbiaceae.